RNAcentral lists this ribosomal RNA (303 nucleotides) under uncultured bacterium. RNAcentral describes it as "partial 16S ribosomal RNA". It matches the Rfam family "Bacterial small subunit ribosomal RNA", at positions 507 to 807 of the family's 1533-position model. The record is from RNAcentral.
AGCAGUAGCCACGGUAAUACGUAGGGUGCGAGCGUUAAUCGGAAUUACUGGGCGUAAAGCAUGCGCAGGCGGUUGUGUAAGACAGGUGUGAAAUCCCCGGGCUUAACCUGGGAACUGCGCUUGUGACUGCACAGCUAGAGUAUGGCAGAGGGGGGUGGAAUUCCAUGUGUAGCAGUGAAAUGCGUAGAGAUGUGGAGGAACACCGAUGGUGAAGGCAGCCCCCUGGGCCAAUACUGACGCUCAUGCACGAAAGCGUGGGGAGCAAACAGGAUUAGAUACCCCCGUAGUCCCUGUCUCUUAUAC